UACGAAGGGGGGCUAGCGUUGCUCGGAAUUACUGGGCGUAAAGGGCGCGUAGGCGGAUGUUUAAGUCGGGGGUGAAAGCCCGGGGCUCAACCCCGGAAUUGCCUUCGAUACUGGACAUCUUGAGUACGGGAGAGGUGAGUGGAACUCCGAGUGUAGAGGUGAAAUUCGUAGAUAUUCGGAAGAACACCAGUGGCGAAGGCGACUCACUGGCCCGUUACUGACGCUGAGGCGCGAAAGCGUGGGGAGCAAACAGG
Molecule: ribosomal RNA, 254 nt
Filed under: uncultured bacterium
Lineage: Bacteria
Description: partial 16S ribosomal RNA
Rfam family: Bacterial small subunit ribosomal RNA
Source: RNAcentral